RNAcentral lists this ribosomal RNA (763 nucleotides) under Idiomarina ramblicola. RNAcentral describes it as "bacterial SSU rRNA". It matches the Rfam family "Bacterial small subunit ribosomal RNA", at positions 37 to 788 of the family's 1533-position model. The record is from RNAcentral. Lineage: Bacteria; Pseudomonadati; Pseudomonadota; Gammaproteobacteria; Alteromonadales; Idiomarinaceae.
UGGCCGUGCGGCAGCUACCAUGCAAGUCGAGCGGUAACAGAGAGAAGCUUGCUUCUCUGCUGACGAGCGGCGGACGGGUGAGUAAUACUUGGGAAUUUGCCUUUAGGCGGGGGACAACCACGGGAAACUGUGGCUAAUACCGCAUAAUGUCUACGGACCAAAGUGGGGGACCUUCGGGCCUCACACCUAAAGAUGAGCCCAAGCGGGAUUAGCUAGUUGGUGGGGUAAAGGCUCACCAAGGCGACGAUCCCUAGCUGUUCUGAGAGGAUGAUCAGCCACACUGGGACUGAGACACGGCCCAGACUCCUACGGGAGGCAGCAGUGGGGAAUAUUGCACAAUGGGGGAAACCCUGAUGCAGCCAUGCCGCGUGUGUGAAGAAGGCCUUCGGGUUGUAAAGCACUUUCAGCGACGAGGAAGGGUGUUGUGUUAAUAGCGCAGCACAUUGACGUUAGUCGCAGAAGAAGCACCGGCUAACUCCGUGCCAGCAGCCGCGGUAAUACGGAGGGUGCAAGCGUUAAUCGGAAUUACUGGGCGUAAAGCGUACGUAGGCGGCGUGUUAAGCAAGAUGUGAAAGCCCCGGGCUCAACCUGGGAAUUGCAUUUUGAACUGGCAUGCUAGAGUCCUGAAGAGGGUGGUAGAAUUUCCAGUGUAGCGGUGAAAUGCGUAGAUAUUGGAAGGAAUACCGGUGGCGAAGGCGGCCACCUGGUCAGAGACUGACGCUGAGGUACGAAAGCGUGGGGAGCAAACAGGAUAAGAUACCUU